UCAUGUUUACAGUCAGGCGCCCCACCAGUCUGCCACAGCACCCGGCCCCUGCGACCACGCAACGGCAGCGACGCAUCAGUCAAGCGGAGGCCCUUCAUGACAGGGCAGAAAGAAACCAAACGCAGGGAGGGACCGAACGUAGCGGACAUGGACCAGGACCGAGAACCUUUAGACCCAGUCUCCAGGAGCGACGGCGUCGUCGUGGUCCCAGUGGAGAACGGACGGGAGGCAAAUAACGUGCCAGGAUCGCCCAACGGUUGUUACGGUCGCUGCAUGCCGCGUUUCUGUGCGAUUUUCGCCUUCGCUGUCACAUUCUUCGUCGUGAAAUUCAUAAUUCGCGUAAUUAUAAACCUUGGCCGUUCGAUGCAAGAGCACCAACAGACGCUUCACUUACCCGACGUAGGGGUCCCCGUGAUCAAACCUCCAGAGAGAGAUCAGCUUCUAUUGGACAUAUUGCGGAAGCGAAAUUGGGCUGUUAACCCAUGAGGAAUUCUGCACCAACAGACCGUACUCCUCUGGCCGGUUAGACGGUGGCAGGCGAACGAUGGCACGCUGCUGAAACGCCAAAUCGUCUUUUCGGUCUCAGAAUAAACACCCAUUGUCCAGUACUUCACGAA
Molecule: unclassified non-coding RNA, 617 nt
Filed under: Thrips palmi
Lineage: Eukaryota; Metazoa; Arthropoda; Insecta; Thysanoptera; Thripidae
Description: uncharacterized LOC117647223, transcript variant X1
Source: RNAcentral